Molecule: ribosomal RNA, 398 nt
Filed under: uncultured bacterium
Lineage: Bacteria
Description: bacterial SSU rRNA
Rfam family: Bacterial small subunit ribosomal RNA
Source: RNAcentral
AGUGAACGCUGGCGGCAGGCCUAACACAUGCAAGUCGAACGGCAGCACGGCAGUAGCAAUACUGUGGGUGGCGAGUGGCGGACGGGUGAGGAAUACAUCGGGAUCUACCCUGUUGUGGGGGAUAACGUAGGGAAACUUACGCUAAUACCGCAUAAGAACUGAGGUUGAAAGCGGCGGACCGCAAGGCGUCGCGCGAUUGGAUGAACCGAUGUCCGAUUAGCUAGUUGGCGGGGUAAAGGCCCACCAAGGCGACGAUCGGUAGCUGGUCUGAGAGGACGACCAGCCACACUGGAACUGAGACACGGUCCAGACUCCUACGGGAGGCAGCAGUGGGGAAUAUUGGACAAUGGGCGCAAGCCUGAUCCAGCCAUGCCGCGUGGGUGAAGAAGGCCUCGGUU